AGAAUUUGGAGUCUUGAGGUGGUUGCUAAUCAUGACUUGAAUCAUCAGGAGCGCAGUGUUCUUGGGGAGAUCCGAUGAGCGCUCAGGAAACAUCAUACGGUGGAAAGAAGAGGGAAUGUGAAAGAGCUGAGCUCAAAUCCCCACUCCGUCACCAGUAGUUGUGUGAACUUGGGUCAAGCACAUUUAAAUCCACCUGAGAGUGAUAAAUUACUGGUAGGAUUUCUGCAUCUUGUCCUUUCAGGAAAGUCUCAUCUUACCCGAAAGACCUGGAUUUGGGAUUAUUCACCAGAACAAGGUCCAGCCCUUAUCUGAGGCCAUGGCAGUCUCUGUUUCUGCCUGCUAUGAUGACUGUGCACUUAGGAGAAUAUCAGAUGGUGGGGCUGCCUCCCUCAUCUGGCCUGAAAAAAUUGAGGCCGUUAAUGAUGUGAAUGGUUUUUUGAUACA
This 444-nucleotide long non-coding RNA is filed under the name Equus asinus (donkey). Its description in RNAcentral is "lncRNA (ENSEASG00005037074.1)". Lineage: Eukaryota; Metazoa; Chordata; Mammalia; Perissodactyla; Equidae. The record is from RNAcentral.